RNAcentral lists this ribosomal RNA (496 nucleotides) under uncultured bacterium. Its description in RNAcentral is "partial 16S ribosomal RNA". It matches the Rfam family "Bacterial small subunit ribosomal RNA", at positions 28 to 506 of the family's 1533-position model. The record is from RNAcentral.
GAUGAACGCUGGCGGCGUGCCUAAUACAUGCAAGUCGAGCGAACAGACGAGGAGCUUGCUCCUCUGACGUUAGCGGCGGACGGGUGAGUAACACGUGGAUAACCUACCUAUAAGACUGGGAUAACUUCGGGAAACCGGAGCUAAUACCGGAUAAUAUAUUGAACCGCAUGGUUCAAUAGUGAAAGACGGUUUUGCUGUCACUUAUAGAUGGAUCCGCGCCGCAUUAGCUAGUUGGUAAGGUAACGGCUUACCAAGGCAACGAUGCGUAGCCGACCUGAGAGGGUGAUCGGCCACACGGGAACUGAGACACGGUCCAGACUCCAACGGGAGGCAGCAGUAGGGAAUCUUCCGCAAUGGGCGAAAGCCUGACGGAGCAACGCCGCGUGAGUGAUGAAGGUCUUCGGAUCGUAAAACGCUGUUAUUAGGGAAGAACAAAUGUGUAAGUAACUAUGCACGUCUUGACGGUACCUAAGCAGAAAGCCACGGCUAACUACGG